GGGUGAGUAACACGUGGAUAACCUACCUAUAAGACUGGGAUAACUUCGGGAAACCGGAGCUAAUACCGGAUAAUAUUUUGAACCGCAUGGUUCAAAAGUGAAAGACGGUCUUGCUGUCACUUAUAGAUGGAUACGCGCUGCAUUAGCUGGUUGGUAAGGUAACGGCUUACCAAGGCAACGAUGCAUAGCCGACCUGAGAGGGUGAUCGGCCACACUGGAACUGAGACACGGUCCAG
RNAcentral lists this ribosomal RNA (236 nucleotides) under uncultured Staphylococcus sp. RNAcentral describes it as "partial 16S ribosomal RNA". It matches the Rfam family "Bacterial small subunit ribosomal RNA", at positions 104 to 334 of the family's 1533-position model. Lineage: Bacteria; Bacillati; Bacillota; Bacilli; Caryophanales; Staphylococcaceae. The record is from RNAcentral.